GAGAGCGUGAGACAUUUUUACACAUUUCCCCUUGCUCAUUCAACCGCCUCUCAUUUACAGUAUCAUCAUGCGGACCGCUCUGCUUCUCGCGGUGUUCUCGUGCUUUUCUCUUAUCGAGGGAAAGCCAUUCGAAGAUAAAACGUGUGUUGGAAUUCGCAGAGAAGAUUCGUCCUAUGACUUUGACCUGCCCGACGCUGUGGCCGUGAACUUGCAAGACCUCACCUGUGAUGCAGAGUGGACCAUUGAUCAAUUCACAGCUAUCCUGGAUGGAAAUUCAGCAUACUUUUCACAUCCCUUCAAAAACGUAACCCGUAAUGGAAUCAGUGUGACUUACUGUCCAUUUUCAGUCACAUUCCAUGCCUCUUGUCUUAAUUAUGUCAAUCACCUUACAUGUUCUUGCACCAAUUCCACCAGCAUCUAUCCAGUGUUUAGCACAACUCUGCCAUCUAGAGAUGUUGCCAUUGCUGUUGCUGCCAUUUUUGUCAUAACCCUUGUCAUUUUGGCUUUCCACUCUGCAAGCACAGCGAAAUAUGCUCCUGAAGAACAAAACCAGCCUGGUUCAGUAGAAUGAGCCUGAGGAGGCAACUGUAAUUGCCCUAGAAACAACACAUGGCGUGGAGUCAUAACAACACAUUAUCCUAUAAUGUAACACAUAUUAUAUUAUAUUAUAUUAUAUUAUAUUAUAUUAUAUUAUAUUAUAUUAUAUUAUAUUAUAUAGUCAAAAAUUGAGAUUUUCCACUGUAUAUUAUAUUAUAUUAUAUAGUCCAAAACUGGGAUUUUUCACUGUAUAUUAUAUUAUAUUAUAUUAUAUUAUAUUAUAUUAUAUUAUAUUAUUCAAAACUGUGAUUUUUCACUGUAUCACUCCGCUUGUCCGUGUUCCAUUUUGAACUUGGGUUUUUCAUUGAUUCAUUCUGCAACUAACUUGGUUACGCUAACCGGUUAUGACAAGUGAGGGUUUUGUAUUGAAUGUCUUUUGUAUAAACGAGUUACUGAAUCAUUCAUUCAUUUACUCAAGUAACUUAAUAUUACUCAAGUUAAUCAAUAUUGUAUAAAACCAUACCAAUCAGUAUAACAAUGUCACGCUUUUGGUGCUGCAACAGAACACACAACAGAGUAUGUGGAAGUGGAACGACAUCAAAUUCCUCUCCUUGCUCAAUAAGUUCUGUAAUCAUGUUACUUCACUCCCUCUACACAUUUCCUAUUUCUCACUGGUUAGAGAAAAACACUGCUCUUAGAGUAAGAGAAAACACAGACAUACUAAAAGUGACACAAACAGUGAAAUAUCAGAGUUUUACUAAAUAUGGUCACUGUUGUACCUGUAUUAUAUUAUAUUAUUAUAUUAUAUUAUAUUAUAUUAUAUUAUAUUAUAUUAUAUUAUAUUAUAUUAUAUCAUAUCAUAUAUUAAGUUUAAUAUGAAGUCUAAUAUAAAGGUUAUAACUUUGUAUUUCCUCCCAGUAUUUACAAUAGUUUCCUGUCUCUUCUGUUGUUAGAUAUUGUUUUUUACACAAAUUGGGCUUAAAAGUUUUAAUCAUUAACGUUACAUAGCGGCGCUUGUGUUCAUCUUUGCUUAGUGCUGUAAAUCUUGUUUGCUCGUAGUUCUAAACACUUUUAUAGGAAUUUCUUAUUUAUUUCAGGUUUUUCCAUCCUUGUAGCUCUUUUUAAUUUUUUUGUUUGUUUGUUUUGAGUUAUUCUGAAACUGCCAUUAAACCUAUGCCUUUUACUCAA
Cyprinus carpio carpio is the source of this 1725-nucleotide long non-coding RNA. The record is from Ensembl. Lineage: Eukaryota; Metazoa; Chordata; Actinopteri; Cypriniformes; Cyprinidae.